AAAAUCAGAGUCUCUGCCUCCAUUUUGAGAAGGUUCUGUCCCUGGAGCCUGGACUGAUAGACCCCACAUCAGCUUGGCUUUUCCCACCUACUGUUCUGACUUCUGAUUGGCCAGAUGGAGUUCACUAACUGCCCUGAUUGGUCCAUCAUCCUGGAGCAGUGACAUUGCAGGAUAUUUUCUCCUCCUCCAGCCACACUUUGUCACCAACUGCUGCCAACUCGCCACCACUGCUGCCGACCUCGCCACCACUGCUUUGUCUCUGAAGUGAGAGUGCUCCUGGUGCCAUGAACGGAGACGACGCCUUUGCAAAGAGACCCAGGGAUGAUGAUAAAGCAUCAGAGAAGAGAAGCAAGGCCUUCAAUGAUAUUGCCACAUACUUCUCUAAGAAAGAGUGGGAAAAGAUGAAAUACUCGGAGAAAAUCAGCUAUGUGUAUAUGAAGAGAAACUAUGAGGCCAUGACUAAACUAGGUUUCAAUGUCACCCUCCCACCUUUCAUGUGUAAUAAACAGGCCACAGACUUCCAGGGGAAUUAUUUUGAUAAUGACCGUAACCGCAGGAUUCAGGUUGAACGUCCUCAGAUGACUUUUGGCAGGCUCCAGAGAAUCAUCCCGAAGAUCAUGCCCAAGAAGCCAGCAGAGGAAGGAAAUGAUUCGAAGGGAGUGUCAGAAGCAUCUGGCCCACAGAACGAUGGGAAACAGCUGCGCCGCCCCGGGAAAAGCAAAUACUUCUGAGAAGAUUAAUAAGAGAUCUGGACCCAAAAGGGGGAGACAUGCCUGGACCCACAGACUGCGUGAGAGAAACCAGCUGGUGAUUUAUGAAGAGAUCAGAGACCCUGAGGAAGAUGAUGAGUAACUCCCCUGGGGGAUAUGACACAUGCCCAUGAUGAGAAGCAGAACAUGGUGACCUUUCACGAACAUGGGCAUGGCUGCGGACCCUCGUCAUCAGGUGCAUAGCAAGUGAAAGCAAGUGUUCACAACAGUGAAAAGUUGAGCGUCAUUUUUCUUAGUGUGCCAAGAGUUCGAUGUUAGUGUUUCCAUUGUAUUUUCUUACACUGUGCCAUUCUGUUAGAUACUAUCCUUUUCAAUGAUGAGCAAGACAUACUUAAUGCAUAUUUCGGUUUGUGUAUCCAUGCACCUACGUCAGAAAACAAGUAUUGUCAUGUAUUCUCUGCAUAGAACAGCACUAUCCUCAUCUCUCCCCAGAUGUGACUACUGAGGGCAGUCCUGAGUGUUUAAUUUCAGACUUCUUCCUCUGCAUUUACACACCACACAACACACACACACACACACACACACCAAGUACCAUUAUAAGCAUCUCCCAUCUGCUUUUCCCAUUGCCGUGCAUCCUGGUCAAGCCCCCCUCACUCUGUUUCCUGUUCAGCAUGUACUCCCCUCAUCCGAUUCCCCUCUAUCAGUCACUGACAGUUAACAAACCUUUGCAAACAUUC
RNA transcript from Homo sapiens (human), 1447 nucleotides. It is a transcript of the gene named SSX family member 8, pseudogene, with no coding region annotated. Lineage: Eukaryota; Metazoa; Chordata; Mammalia; Primates; Hominidae. The record is from RefSeq and is marked validated. The transcript has 8 exons.